Molecule: ribosomal RNA, 459 nt
Filed under: uncultured bacterium
Lineage: Bacteria
Description: partial 16S ribosomal RNA
Rfam family: Bacterial small subunit ribosomal RNA
Source: RNAcentral
CCUACGGGUGGCAGCAGUGAGGAAUAUUGGUCAAUGGACGAGAGUCUGAACCAGCCAAGUAGCGUGAAGGAUGACUGCCCUAUGGGUUGUAAACUUCUUUUAUAUGGGAAUAAAAUGUUCCACGUGUGGGAUUUUGUAUGUACCAUAUGAAUAAGGAUCGGCUAACUCCGUGCCAGCAGCCGCGGUAAUACGGGGGAUCCGAGCGUUAUCCGGAUUUAUUGGGUUUAAAGGGAGCGUAGGUGGAUUGUUAAGUCAGUUGUGAAAGUUUGCGGCUCAACCGUAAAAUUGCAGUUGAAACUGGCAGUCUUGAGUACAGUAGAGGUGGGCGGAAUUCGUGGUGUAGCGGUGAAAUGCUUAGAUAUCACGCAGAACUCCGAUUGCGAAGGCAGUUCACUGGACUGCAACUGACACUGAGGCUCGAAAGUGUGGGUAUCAAACAGGAUUAGAUACCCAGUAGUC